AAUUCCCUCUAAUAAAUCAAAUUUUUUUUAGUUUUCUGACAGAGUUUUGUUUUCAUGAAAACACCUCAACAGAAUAAAAAACUUAAAACUGAAAAGCUAGAGUAUAGUUUUCAAAACAAGUACUUGGAUGAUGUUGUUGACGAGGAUCUGCUUUCACUAUGUCGCGAGUAUUCAGAUGAAAAAACAAAUUCUCCCGAAAAACAAAAUUCAACUCAAAACUUUUCUACUUCAAUCAAUACCCAAGCAACUAUAACAACCAGCAACACUACAAUUUGUUGUAAACACUGCCAUUCUCAAUCCAAUAUUGAAACAGUAUUAAUUCCCUGCCAUUUGUACAUUUGCCGCACGUGUCUUUCAAAACGUCGUGACACGGACCACUACCGAUGUAUUUCGCAAGGUCGAGCGAUGAGGAAGUUUGCGUUAACAUUAGAAGAGUUAAGAACUGGAACUGUUUAUUGUAAAGAUAAACUAUUCAAAAUACCACUUAUUGUUAAACAAAAUCGUAAUCCUCAAGGUUUUGGUGCUCCUAUGAAAUUAUAUUACGAGUUCCAAGUAAGAUUUUUAUUGGAGUUAGCUAUAGCUAAACACGGUUCCCUCAAUGAACUUUCUAGAGUGAUUGAAAAUCGUGAAAGUUGUUGUUUUCAACGAACUGUUCAAAAAAAAAUAGCGAAAAAAUCCAAAAGAUGCGACACAAAAAGCAGACAUACUUCAGAAGCACUCCCCAAAUUCCGACCUAACAUAAGUGACAACUUGAAGAAGUUGAAAACAAGUCAAUUGACUGAAAUAGUUGAUGAGGAAACCCCAACUGAUGGACUUUUACAGGAAUGGGAAGAAAUUUGAAAUGCCUAUUCAAUAACACUUGAGUUUCCUUGAUCGAUAGACGCUAACCAAUCCUGAUGUUUUUUAGUAUGUUUUUCCAAAAGCUACAAAAAGAAUAAUAUUAAACUUAAAGCCUCACCAUUAGCAUAUGAUACAGGAACACCAUCCUUGUCUACUUCACCAUAUAUAUUAGGAUUUAGAGUUAUAAAGUAAUCUCUUG
Hylaeus volcanicus is the source of this 1039-nucleotide RNA transcript. RefSeq lists it as uncharacterized. The transcript is spliced from 7 exons. Lineage: Eukaryota; Metazoa; Arthropoda; Insecta; Hymenoptera; Colletidae. The record is from RefSeq and is a predicted model, not a curated record.